This 312-nucleotide ribosomal RNA is filed under the name uncultured bacterium. Its description in RNAcentral is "bacterial SSU rRNA". It matches the Rfam family "Bacterial small subunit ribosomal RNA", at positions 27 to 339 of the family's 1533-position model. The record is from RNAcentral.
GAUUGAACGCUGGCGGAAUGCUUUACACAUGCAAGUCGAGCGGCAGCGCGGGGGCAACCCUGGCGGCGAGCGGCGAACGGGUGAGUAAUACAUCGGAACGUGUCCUUGAGUGGGGGNUAGCUCGGCGAAAGCCGGAUUAAUACCGCAUAAGCUCUGAGGAGGAAAGCGGGGGAUUCGCAAGGACCUCGCGCUGUUGGAGCGGCCGAUGUCGGAUUAGCUAGNGGGUGGGGUAAAGGCCCACCAAGGCGACGAUCCGUAGCUGGUCUGAGAGGAUGAUCAGCCACACUGGAACUGAGACACGGUCCAGACUCC